AUGGCGGAACGCUUGGCUUCGAUAUUUGGUACAGAGAAAGACAGUGUCAACUGUCCAUUUUUUACUUCAAGAUUGGAGCUUGUCAUCAUGGCGAUCGCCGCUCCCGCAUCCAUAACAGGCCAACCAUGA
RNAcentral lists this ribosomal RNA (129 nucleotides) under Triticum aestivum (bread wheat). RNAcentral's name for it is "partial small subunit ribosomal RNA". Lineage: Eukaryota; Viridiplantae; Streptophyta; Magnoliopsida; Poales; Poaceae. The record is from RNAcentral.